This 292-nucleotide ribosomal RNA is filed under the name uncultured prokaryote. RNAcentral's name for it is "partial 16S ribosomal RNA". It matches the Rfam family "Bacterial small subunit ribosomal RNA", at positions 505 to 796 of the family's 1533-position model. The record is from RNAcentral.
GUGCCAGCCGCCGCGGUAAUACGUAGGGCGCAAGCGUUAUCCGGAAUUAUUGGGCGUAAAGAGCUCGUAGGCGGUUUGUCGCGUCUGCUGUGAAAUCCCGAGGCUCAACCUCGGGCCUGCAGUGGGUACGGGCAGACUAGAGUGCGGUAGGGGAGAUUGGAAUUCCUGGUGUAGCGGUGGAAUGCGCAGAUAUCAGGAGGAACACCGAUGGCGAAGGCAGAUCUCUGGGCCGUAACUGACGCUGAGGAGCGAAAGCGUGGGGAGCGAACAGGAUUAGAUACCCCUGUAGUCC